This 74-nucleotide transfer RNA is filed under the name Tubulinosema ratisbonensis. It matches the Rfam family "tRNA". From Rfam's summary of the family: Transfer RNA (tRNA) molecules are approximately 80 nucleotides in length. Their secondary structure includes four short double-helical elements and three loops (D, anti-codon, and T loops). The record is from Rfam by way of RNAcentral. Lineage: Eukaryota; Fungi; Microsporidia; Tubulinosematidae.
GCCCCCUUAGCUCAGCUGGUUAGAGCGUGGUGCUAAUAACGCCAAGGUCUUGGGUUCGAUCCCCAAAGGGGGCA